CGAAUUCAUCGCCGUCUUCGUCUUCUUCCUUGUCACA
This 37-nucleotide small RNA is filed under the name Arabidopsis thaliana (thale cress). RNAcentral's name for it is "ATSL254080". Lineage: Eukaryota; Viridiplantae; Streptophyta; Magnoliopsida; Brassicales; Brassicaceae. The record is from RNAcentral.